UGGGGAAUUUUGGACAAUGGGCGCAAGCCUGAUCCAGCCAUUCCGCGUGCAGGAUGAAGGCCCUCGGGUUGUAAACUGCUUUUGUACGGAACGAAAAGCCUUUUUCUAAUACAAGAAGGUCAUGACGGUACCGUAAGAAUAAGCACCGGCUAACUACGUGCCAGCAGCCGCGGUAAUACGUAGGGUGCGAGCGUUAAUCGGAAUUACUGGGCGUAAAGCGUGCGCAGGCGGUGAUGUAAGACAGAUGUGAAAUCCCCGGGCUCAACCUGGGACCUGCAUUUGUGACUGCAUCGCUGGAGUGCGGCAGAGGGGGAUGGAAUUCCGCGUGUAGCAGUGAAAUGCGUAGAUAUGCGGAGGAACACCGAUGGCGAAGGCAAUCCCCUGGGCCUGCACUGACGCUCAUGCACGAAAGCGUGGGGAGCAAACA
RNAcentral lists this ribosomal RNA (427 nucleotides) under uncultured bacterium. RNAcentral's name for it is "bacterial SSU rRNA". It matches the Rfam family "Bacterial small subunit ribosomal RNA", at positions 355 to 774 of the family's 1533-position model. The record is from RNAcentral.